UGGGGAAUAUUGGACAAUGGGCGAAAGCCUGAUCCAGCCAUGCCGCGUGUGUGAAGAAGGUCUUCGGAUUGUAAAGCACUUUAAGUUGGGAGGAAGGGCAUUAACCUAAUACGUUAGUGUUUUGACGUUACCGACAGAAUAAGCACCGGCUAACUCUGUGCCAGCAGCCGCGGUAAUACAGAGGGUGCAAGCGUUAAUCGGAAUUACUGGGCGUAAAGCGCGCGUAGGUGGUUUGUUAAGUUGGAUGUGAAAGCCCCGUGCUCAACCUGGGAACUGCAUCCAAAACUGGCAAGCUAGAGUACGGUAGAGGGUGGUGGAAUUUCCUGUGUAGCGGUGAAAUGCGUAGAUAUAGCAAGGAACACCAGUGGCGAAGGCGACCACCUGGACUAAUACUGACACUGAGGUGCGAAAGCGUGCGGAGCAAACA
RNAcentral lists this ribosomal RNA (427 nucleotides) under uncultured bacterium. RNAcentral's name for it is "partial 16S ribosomal RNA". It matches the Rfam family "Bacterial small subunit ribosomal RNA", at positions 355 to 774 of the family's 1533-position model. The record is from RNAcentral.